Non-coding RNA from Phrynosoma platyrhinos (Desert horned lizard), 72 nucleotides. NCBI's taxonomy places the organism in Eukaryota, Metazoa, Chordata, Lepidosauria, Squamata, Phrynosomatidae. The record is from the annotation of a GenBank genome assembly.
GCCAGUGUGGUGUAGUGGUUUGAGAUUUGGACCAUGACUCUGAAGACCAGGGUUCAAAUCCUUACUUUGCCA